CAUAUAGUAGCUUAAGUUUUUAAAGCGUUAAACUUUUAAUUUAAAGAUAAGGGAACUCUUUUAUAUGG
This 68-nucleotide transfer RNA is filed under the name Striatobalanus amaryllis. RNAcentral's name for it is "tRNA-Lys". It matches the Rfam family "tRNA". Rfam says of the family: Transfer RNA (tRNA) molecules are approximately 80 nucleotides in length. The record is from RNAcentral. Lineage: Eukaryota; Metazoa; Arthropoda; Thecostraca; Balanomorpha; Balanidae.